Long non-coding RNA from Ahaetulla prasina, 387 nucleotides. RefSeq lists it as uncharacterized. The record is from RefSeq and is a predicted model, not a curated record. The transcript is spliced from 3 exons. NCBI's taxonomy places the organism in Eukaryota, Metazoa, Chordata, Lepidosauria, Squamata, Colubridae.
CCUAUCCCGUCAUUCUCAGCGGAGAGCAGUAGAGUGGGACUCCUAAGGGUGUUCUAGAGGGGCAGGAACAGGCCAAGGCCAAUGAUGUCGGAAAAGAAACAACCCGUAGAUCUGGGGCUUCUGGAAGAAGACGACGAGUUCGAGGAGUUUCCUGCCGAAGACUGGGCUGGUUUAGAUGAAGAUGAAGAUGCACAUGUGUGGGAAGAUAAUUGGGAUGAUGAUAAUGUAGAAGACGAUUUCUCUAACCAGUUAAGAGCGGAAUUGGAAAAGCAUUGCUACAAGAUGGAAACGACAUAGCUUCUAAUGCUGAUGUUUUAAUGCUGCUAAUACAAAGUGUAACAAGAGAUGGGCUUUUCAUCGCAAAUAAAAAUCCAGAUUAUACUCAGA